UCAAGUUAACUCAGGUACUAGAGUAUGGGGGGCGGGGGGAAAUGUACUGCAGCAUUAAUGAAAACUAGAGCUGGGAGAAUGUGUUUUUCCUUGAGUAAAUUGCAAAUGCCAGUGCACCGCAUUUGACCAGGAGGGAAGAAUGAGAGGCCCUGGUAGCAAAGCCAGUGGAAGAAGUUUUACUAGGAGCAGUUGUAUCAUUCGUGUACUUUUUUUGUGUCAUACAAGUGAGAGUGAAAUGGUCCAUGUCUGUGUUUUGAGGAAUUUUUUGCCUUUCUUUUCAGAAACUAAUUCUGAAGCAAGCCCUUAUUGUUGUGCUGCAGUGGUGUUUCAAUCACAAUUUUAGUGUUCGACUGUAUGCUUUAGUUGCUCUUAAGAAACUCUGGACUGUGUGUAAAGUGUUAAGUGUUGAAGAAUUUGAUGCCCUGACUCCUGUGAUUGAAUCCAGCCUCCAUCAAGUGGAAAGCAUGCACGGAGCAGGGAAUGCCAAGAAGAAUUGGCAACGCAUUCAAGAGCAUUUCUUUUUUGCAGCAUUUCACCCACUCAAGGAUUAUUGUCUAGAGGCAGUGUCUGGCUUGUAAACAAUGGAAGGGAAUAUUUAACUCUAAACAGAAAUCUGUUCUGACAUUAAAAGGAAAUGAGUGAGAACAUUUGUGCAGACCAUAUUUUACAUCCUUCCACGCCUUUCAGGCCUUAUUGAAGAUGAAUGGAUCACCAUUGAUAAAUUUACCAGAUUCACUGAUGUUCCUUUAGCUGCGGGAUUUCAGUGGUACCUUUCUCAAACUCAACUUAGUAAACUAAAACCAGGUGACUGGUCUCAGCAAGACAUAGGUACUAAUUUGGUCGAAGCAGAUAACCAAGCGGAGUGGACCGACGUUCAGAAGAAGAUUAUCCCGUGGAACAGUCGUGUUCCCGACUUAGACCUGGAGCUCCUGUUUCAGGAUCGUGCUGCCAGACUUGGAAAGUCAAUUAGUAGGCUCAUCGUCGUGGCCUCGCUCAUCGACAAACCGACCAAUUUAGGAGGACUGUGCAGGACCUGUGAGGUAUUUGGGGCUUCAGUGCUCGUUGUUGGCAGCCUUCAGUGUAUCAGCGACAAACAGUUUCAGCACCUCAGUGUCUCUGCAGAACAGUGGCUUCCUCUAGUGGAGGUAAAACCACCUCAGCUAAUUGACUAUCUGCAGCAGAAGAAAACAGAAGGUUAUACCAUCAUUGGAGUGGAACAAACUGCCAGAAGUUUAGACCUAACCCAAUAUUGCUUUCCUGAGAAAUCUCUACUCUUGUUGGGAAAUGAACGUGAGGGAAUUCCAGCAAAUCUGAUCCAACAGUUGGACGUUUGUGUGGAAAUUCCUCAACAGGGCAUUAUCCGCUCCCUGAACGUCCACGUGAGUGGAGCCCUGCUGAUCUGGGAGUACACCAGGCAGCAGCUGCUCUCGCACGGAGAUACCAAGCCAUGAUGUGCCUUCCUCAGUGAACUGCUGCUGCUGUUCAGACUUUUUUUAAAAAAACUAUUUGGACUAAAGAAACAGAUUCUGAAAUUUAUUGUGAUAAUUUGUAUUUCUUUUUUCUUGCAAUUUAAUGCCAAAAGUUUGCCAUGUGCCUUAAACAUAUUACUAUAUAUUUUCCCCUUUAAUAAACACUUUUUGUUAAAUUGUA
Molecule: small RNA, 1650 nt
Filed under: Pan troglodytes (chimpanzee)
Lineage: Eukaryota; Metazoa; Chordata; Mammalia; Primates; Hominidae
Description: processed transcript
Source: RNAcentral